This 216-nucleotide unclassified non-coding RNA is filed under the name Hevea brasiliensis (rubber tree). The record is from RNAcentral. Lineage: Eukaryota; Viridiplantae; Streptophyta; Magnoliopsida; Malpighiales; Euphorbiaceae.
UCUUUUCCUCUCUCUUCCUUGAAAAACCAUCGAGGGAACUCGCUCUUCUCUGCCAACAAUACCACCCAGAACAGACCCUUCUCGCUCUCUACUCAACCAAGAAGACUGCUUCGCAGACCCCCUCAGGGCAAGUAUGUUAGAGAAGACUAUCUUGUGAAAAAGAAGACUGCACAGGAGAUACAGGAGCUGGUUUUUCAAGGAAGAGAGAGGAAAAGA